GUGUCAUGUAGACUCGUAAACUCUCGGGAUAUAGUGAAGCAGUAUGCUAGUUGUCCAAUACGCUCGAUGAUUCGAAAUGGUCCCGCAUAACGAGGGCUUAACUUCCCUCUUUUUUUUAACUGCAUCUUUUCCUUGUAGGGAAAAACCUUGAGGAAAACCUGGUCGCCCACAGUGAAUUCCAAGGGUCACCUACGAUUGUCAGUGUAACUCUUUUGAUAACUUUGUGUAGU
Molecule: long non-coding RNA, 230 nt
Filed under: Carica papaya (papaya)
Lineage: Eukaryota; Viridiplantae; Streptophyta; Magnoliopsida; Brassicales; Caricaceae
Description: long non-coding RNA (CPAP_LNC006144)
Source: RNAcentral